GGGGACGUAUUUGGGUUCGACAGGGUGUUUUAGCGCUCUAAUGUUAUGCCGAGUUCUUGCUGGCUCGUUAAAUCGGCAAGGAAAAAUAAACGCAGAAAAUAACGAAUACGCAUUAGCUGCUUAGAAUAGCGGCUGAGGUUACUAAAGAGACUUCCAUUGCGGUCUCUUUAAGUAAUCUAAUAUCGAGCAAUGGCUCAUCAAAGUGUUUCUUCCGGUUUCCAUUUUGAUGAGUAAAUAAAACCGAAAGGCUUGCUUAAAGCUUUGCUACUUUUUGCUUAAGCAAGCUAUAAAAAGUAGCUAUGCAUAUAAAAAGCAUUAGAGCUCGACGCACACCUGGACGCGGGUUCAAAUCCCGCCGUCUCCACCA
This 367-nucleotide transfer-messenger RNA is filed under the name Hippeaceae. Its description in RNAcentral is "CAJXLZ01 sp913056505 Standard tmRNA". It matches the Rfam family "transfer-messenger RNA". From Rfam's summary of the family: Bacterial tmRNA, also known as 10Sa RNA or SsrA, is named for its dual tRNA and mRNA-like properties. Its role is to liberate the mRNA from a stalled ribosome. To accomplish this part of the tmRNA is used as a reading frame that ends in a translation stop signal. Lineage: Bacteria; Pseudomonadati; Campylobacterota; Desulfurellia; Desulfurellales. RNAcentral also lists the same sequence under 1 other name. The record is from RNAcentral.